RNAcentral lists this ribosomal RNA (460 nucleotides) under uncultured bacterium. RNAcentral's name for it is "partial 16S ribosomal RNA". It matches the Rfam family "Bacterial small subunit ribosomal RNA", at positions 338 to 795 of the family's 1533-position model. The record is from RNAcentral.
CCUACGGGAGGCAGCAGUGAGGAAUAUUGGUCAAUGGCCGGGAGGCUGAACCAGCCAAGUCGCGUGAGGGAAGACGGCCCUACGGGUUGUAAACCUCUUUUGUCAGGGAGCAAGGUGCAGGUCGGGACCUGCUGUGAGAGUACCUGAAGAAAAAGCAUUGGCUAACUCCGUGCCAGCAGCCGCGGUAAUACGUAGGGGGCAAGCGUUAUCCGGAAUUACUGGGUGUAAAGGGAGCGUAGACGGUAAUGCAAGUCUGGAGUGAAAGGCGGGGGCCCAACCCCCGGACUGCUCUGGAAACUGUGUAACUGGAGUGCAGGAGAGGCAGGCGGAAUUCCUAGUGUAGCGGUGAAAUGCGUAGAUAUUAGGAGGAACACCAGUGGCGAAGGCGGCCUGCUGGACUGUAACUGACGUUGAGGCUCGAAAGCGUGGGGAGCAAACAGGAUUAGAUACCCGGGUAGUC